CCUACGGGGGGCUGCAGUGGGGAAUAUUGGACAAUGGGGGAACCCUGAUCCAGCCAUGCCGCGUGUGUGAAGAAGGCCCUCGGGUUGUAAAGCACUUUCAGUGAGGAAGAACGCCUGGUGGUUAAUACCCAUCAGGAAAGACAUCACUCACAGAAGAAGCACCGGCUAACUCCGUGCCAGCAGCCGCGGUAAUACGGAGGGUGCGAGCGUUAAUCGGAAUUACUGGGCGUAAAGCGCGCGUAGGUGGCUUGAUAAGCCGGUUGUGAAAGCCCCGGGCUCAACCUGGGAACGGCAUCCGGAACUGUCAAGCUAGAGUGCAGGAGAGGAAGGUAGAAUUCCCGGUGUAGCGGUGAAAUGCGUAGAGAUCGGGAGGAAUACCAGUGGCGAAGGCGGCCUUCUGGACUGACACUGACACUGAGGUGCGAAAGCGUGGGUAGCAAACAGGAUUAGAUACCCUUGUAGUC
Molecule: ribosomal RNA, 464 nt
Filed under: Vreelandella stevensii
Lineage: Bacteria; Pseudomonadati; Pseudomonadota; Gammaproteobacteria; Oceanospirillales; Halomonadaceae
Description: partial 16S ribosomal RNA
Rfam family: Bacterial small subunit ribosomal RNA
Source: RNAcentral